Cygnus atratus (black swan) is the source of this 2981-nucleotide long non-coding RNA. RefSeq lists it as uncharacterized. The record is from RefSeq and is a predicted model, not a curated record. NCBI's taxonomy places the organism in Eukaryota, Metazoa, Chordata, Aves, Anseriformes, Anatidae. The transcript is spliced from 4 exons.
UGGGAAGAAUCAAGGGGCUGGAUACCUGUCGACACUCUCCUGGGUGCUUUUUAGAAAUGUGGUGUGAAGGCAGCUCUUCUGUCUUAUAAGAUGGGGGUCCUGCUUGGAAACACUAGAGACUGGACUAGCAAUGGGAUAAAGAAAAGCUGAAAGGAUUCAGGCAGGUCUGCUGCGUUUAUCCCCUCACCCAGAAAGGUUCCCAGGGUGACGCAGACUCGAGGUGUUUGACCCAGGAUGCCUGUCUCCCACAGAUGGAGGGAACGGCCCAGGAACUGAAACUUCUGCCCUCACUAUGGUUUUCUCCUCUCUAGCUCAAUCCAUGUAUCCAAUGGAGUUGGUGUAUUCAGAAAAGGAUAAAUUAUAGUUUACAUCUGAAUCCCUUGUGAACUCAGGCCAUCACCCAGCCAAGACCAAACUGUGGUUUCCUGAGAGAAACACUGUCUCACUGGGUGAGCCCUGAAAGAAGAUGUACACUAACACUAUGCAGAGCAUAUUAUGAAGUUUUCCAAAGCUGCUAACAGCAUCUAGAGAUAGUUAAAAGCAAUCAGUUCCUCCCCCUGCAACUCCAGCAACUCAUGCUACACUGCAAUAUGAAAAGAUGUACUAAGAGCAUUCAACUGACAUUUAAAGUUUUGUCUAAACUGGCAAGUGGAGCAAAAGCUGCCCAUAGGAUAAGUAUUAAAAAAAUAUUUACAUUCUACUUAUAUCCUUAGAGAAACAGAAUUUGACAAAUCAUGAGCUUCAUUCACCAGCAUUCUGAAAUGGACAAAACUUGUGCUGGUAAACAGGGUUCAUUUAACUAAAAUGUAGACCAAUUAUGUGUGAUAUGAGCAUAUGUGCAGAACUGUUUCAGAAGAAUGCAGCAACGUUAUAUAACAGCAUGUGGUGAUACAGUGUAACUGUUUAUGGUCAGAAAUUAGAAUUAUUAGAUGAAAAUGAUUUGCAGGGGAAUUCUAGGUUCUACAGUGCAUCUCAAGAAGAUGGAAAUCAGACUGAUGAGUGGAAUAAAUUUCCGAACUCAUAAUAAUCUGGUCAGAGAGAAGGCUUAGCACAAGCAAAGCAGUUCAGCUACCAUAGAUACCUAUCAACAUUUAAACAACACUUUUCACUAUGCAUUUAACAGGUGAAGAGAACAGAGGGACCACAGUUGCCUGCGAAUCUCAGUCUCUGUGCCCAAACAGAAUCUGAAGUCAAAUUGAAUUUGACCUGGACCAAUGUAACAUAUAUUUGAAUAUAGUAAACUAAGCAUGCCUAAUUUCUAUUCAGAGAUUAUAAGAGAUUUCUGUAUCAGGAGUUGGUAUGACAUCCAUUCCAUUCCCUACUGACAUGACAUCCAUUUUCAUUCAUCUACUGAUGACUGACACUGCUAGAAAUAGCAUUACUGAUAGGACAUUAACCAGGGGUGAAGUAAGAAGCAAAGAAGGAAAUUUCCCACAGUUCAGCCAGAAACCUUAGAAGAAAAUCCUGCGAUAAAGUGGAACUACUGUUUGUUUGUCCUACAGUAAGAUCUUCUGAUAUUAAUAAUUAUUUCUUUCAUAGGCCCCACCAAUUGGAGAUUGAACUGCUGAUAAGUGCAAUGUUGAAACUUGCUUUUCUUGUUUGUGAGAGUAAGCAUUUUAUUAAUCACUUCUGUGGCAUUUACAUACCACUGCAAUUUUUAUCCUACUCUUGUUUCUGUGCCUAACCACUUAAGCACUGAUUUUUAAUGUUGCAUUAUAUUGCCUAUCCCAUAAUAGAUACCUACAUGAGCUUUCAUCACUAUAUUACCUUAGGAUUUCCACCCAAGGGACCAAUGUAAUUCAGAAAAUACUAGUGGAAAGCACAUUAAAAGUUAUGUCCUUAAAUCAAUCAGUUGUUGAAUGAUUCAACCUAAACCUGCAACACACUCAUUCAUGGCUAGUCAUGGAGACAUCUGUUGCCUCUUUCCAGACAAUGAAUUUCUAGUGACAAUGCUACACAUGCAACAGAAAAGGCUUCAUGGACGUUGCUCCUUCAAACCAUUCUUCCAAAUUCCAUAUCAUCCUUUGGAAGAGGCAAGGUGACUGUUGGAGGCAGCCCUAGAUCUUUAGAAAAUCUGCCUGCUGACAUCAGAAGAAAGUUCUUAUGCUCCUUUCAAGCUCUAAGAUGUGUGCAGUUUUGCCCAUGUAGCAUGGCUCUUGCCCCAGGCCACAGAAGGGAGAACAAGAGUGGGCUGUCACUUCAGUAAAUGUGUUUUAGAAGACUGGUCAACUUGCCUGUAUUUAAACAAAAUUAGCAGAUGAAGAUGUGUGCACCAUGUAAGUCAGCUAGGUCACUGCAAUUAGUGAUGUUUUAUAAUCCGGUUUGGUAGCCAAAAUUUUUAAAAGCCCUUGUAGUUGUAAAAAUAAAGAAAAUUGGUGGCUUAGGGCUAUGCAGAUGUUUUUAUAUAUAUAUUGUACAAACAUUGCUAAACCCAUAUAAACGAUAUGUUGGCUCUGUUCCUUCUACCACAUUUUCAAGAAAUCAGUGAGACUGCCUUAUUUUCUUUGUUUAGUGUGUGUCUGCUAUGGCAAAAUGUGCAAUGGAAAAACAACAUGAAUAAUUUGAUGCUACUUUUUUUCUUCAAUUUUAUAUACAAUUCUUGGUAAACAGAUUCUUGGUAAAUUAAAAGUCUAACAUUUUCUUAUAAAAAUGCUUUUCUUUCUCAGAACUUGUUUCUCAUUCCUUCUGCUUCUGCACUUGCAUAUACUUCCUAAAGAGUAUUUCUCAACUUGUGGACAGAUAAAAACUCCUGUGCUCUUGGCUGAAGUUGAAUCAACAUCCAGAUACAAGGCUGGUCACACAAAACUCCCAGAAUUUGCUGUAUACACUUAGGUUAGAUUUACAAAAAAUCACCACUUGCUAGCUAGGUGUCAAAACAAUCACUUUCCUGACUUCAUUCAAUGUUCACUUUCCCAGCUGUGUUAAUAUAGAUGUGUACACAUAUCUUCCCAUUUAAUUAGCUCUAUAAGUAUCUUAAAGUA